GGGGAAUUUUGGACAAUGGGGGCAACCCUGAUCCAGCCAUUCCGCGUGAGUGAAGAAGGCCUUCGGGUUGUAAAGCUCUUUCAGCUGGAACGAAACGGUGCGCUCUAACAUAGCGUGCUAAUGACGGUACCAGCAGAAGAAGCACCGGCUAACUACGUGCCAGCAGCCGCGGUAAUACGUAGGGUGCGAGCGUUAAUCGGAAUUACUGGGCGUAAAGCGUGCGCAGGCGGAUUGUUAAGCAAGACGUGAAAUCCCCGGGCUUAACCUGGGAAUGGCGUUUUGAACUGGCAGUCUAGAGUGCGUCAGAGGGGGGUGGAAUUCCACGUGUAGCAGUGAAAUGCGUAGAGAUGUGGAGGAACACCGAUGGCGAAGGCAGCCCCCUGGGAUGACACUGACGCUCAUGUACGAAAGCGUGGGUAGCAAAC
RNAcentral lists this ribosomal RNA (425 nucleotides) under uncultured bacterium. RNAcentral's name for it is "bacterial SSU rRNA". It matches the Rfam family "Bacterial small subunit ribosomal RNA", at positions 356 to 773 of the family's 1533-position model. The record is from RNAcentral.